This 433-nucleotide ribosomal RNA is filed under the name uncultured bacterium. RNAcentral describes it as "partial 16S ribosomal RNA". It matches the Rfam family "Bacterial small subunit ribosomal RNA", at positions 29 to 507 of the family's 1533-position model. The record is from RNAcentral.
AACGAACGCUGGCGGCAUGCCUAACACAUGCAAGUCGAACGAGACCUUCGGGCCUAGUGGCGCACGGGUGCGUAACGCGUGGGAACCUGCCCUUAGGUUCGGAAUAACUCCCCGAAAGGGGUGCUAAUACCGGCUAAUGUCUCCGGACCAAAGAUUUAUCGCCUUUGGAUGGGCCCGCGUUGGCUUAGCUAGUUGGUAGGGUAAAAGCCUACCAAGGCGACGAUCCAUAGCUGGUCUGAGAGGAUGAUCAGCCACACUGGGACUGAGACACGGCCCAGACUCCUACGGGAGGCAGCAGUGGGGAAUAUUGGACAAUGGGCGAAAGCCUGAUCCAGCAAGGCCGCGUGAGUGAUGAAGGCCUGAGGGUUGUAAAGCUCGUUUACCCGGGAUGAUAAUGACAGUACCGGGAGAAUAAGCUCCGGCUAACUCCGUG